GCCUACGGCCAUACCACCCUGAGAACACCCGAUCUCCUCUGAUGUCAGAAGCUAAGCAGGAUUGGGCUCAGUUAGUACUUGGGUGGGAGACUGCCUGGGAAUCCCAGGCGCUGUAGGGU
Molecule: ribosomal RNA, 119 nt
Filed under: Strigops habroptila (Kakapo)
Lineage: Eukaryota; Metazoa; Chordata; Aves; Psittaciformes; Psittacidae
Source: RNAcentral